This 104-nucleotide transfer RNA is filed under the name Neobacillus paridis. RNAcentral's name for it is "tRNA-Ala". It matches the Rfam family "tRNA". From Rfam's summary of the family: Transfer RNA (tRNA) molecules are approximately 80 nucleotides in length. Their secondary structure includes four short double-helical elements and three loops (D, anti-codon, and T loops). Lineage: Bacteria; Bacillati; Bacillota; Bacilli; Caryophanales; Bacillaceae. The record is from RNAcentral.
GGGGGUUUAGCUCAGCUGGGAGAGCACCUGCUUUGCAAGCAGGGGGUCGUCGNACCUGCUUUGCAAGCAGGGGGUCGUCGGUUCGAUCCCGUCAACCUCCACCA